GACGAACGCUGGCGGCGUGCUUAACACAUGCAAGUCGAACGGAAAGGCCUUUUCGGAGGUACUCGAGUGGCGAACGGGUGAGUAACACGUGGGUGAUCUGCCCUGCACUCUGGGAUAAGCCUGGGAUACUGGGUCUAAUACCGGAUAGGACCGCACUUUAGUGUGUGUGGUGGAAAGUUUUUUCGGUGUAGGAUGAGCCCGCGGCCUAUCAGCUUGUUGGUGGGGUAAUGGCCUACCAAGGCGGCGACGGGUAGCCGGACUGAGAGGUUGGUCGGCCACAUUGGGACUGAGAUACGGCCCAGACUCCUACGGGAGGCAGCAGUGGGGAGUAUUGCACAAUGGGCGCAAGCCUGAUGCAGCGACGCCGCGUGGGGGAGGACGGCCUUCGGGUUGUAGACGCCUUUCGCCAGGGACGAAGCGUUUUGUGACGGUACCUGGAGAAGAAGCACCGGCUAACUACGUG
Molecule: ribosomal RNA, 463 nt
Filed under: uncultured bacterium
Lineage: Bacteria
Description: partial 16S ribosomal RNA
Rfam family: Bacterial small subunit ribosomal RNA
Source: RNAcentral